RNAcentral lists this long non-coding RNA (1381 nucleotides) under Mus musculus (house mouse). RNAcentral describes it as "RIKEN cDNA 9030622O22 gene". The record is from RNAcentral. Lineage: Eukaryota; Metazoa; Chordata; Mammalia; Rodentia; Muridae.
AACAGUCGCUCGGUUUGAGCUCAAAUAAAUGCAGGGAUGCCUCGGCUGGGAGCAGUCCGCCGCCUCCCUCCGAGCGCAGGACGCUCCGACGCCCGCUUGCCCGCAGGCCACCGCAGACUGGGAAUUACACAGCAAGAUGGCUUUCCCUACUCCAUCGUGGCUAGAGCCUCUGCAAGGGCUGAAGCCCUUUGAUCUUGGCUUCAUUUGGAUACAUUUCAAGGGCCUUACUGGCUUUGGGCAAGUGCUGAAGUUCACUCAUUUUCUAUUGGUUGUUUCUCCCCAUGAAAGACAUUGAACAUAAGUGGUGUGGAAUAAUGUUAAGCUUCUCUGAUGGGUCCUAAAUGGUUGAAGAACACCCCUCAAGAGAUGGGAAGAUUCUAAGAGCCAGAGAGAAUGGAUUACUCCAAGGCAACACAAUGGGACUGAUGACCACAUGAACUCUUAGAGACUGUAGCAGCUUGCACCAGGCCUGUACAGGUUCAAGCCAGAUGGGGUUCCAGCACUGAGAGGGGAAUUGGACAUGGACGUCUACUCCUUACUAAGAAGCUCUCUGCAACUGAUACCGACUUGCAAAGGAAAAUAGUUUUCUCCAAUGAAGUACCACUGAGUAUAUUAACCAUACUUCAAGGUAUGUGGAGCCUGACUGUGAAACUCACAUAAGACCUAUGCAACCAUGAGUAACUCCACUUCUGGAUAAUCCAGUGCCUUCUUUCUGACCGCCACAGGCAUGAGGUAGUGUGCAUUUUCUCCUGAACUGCCACCUAAGGGAAUAAACAAAUGGAGUAUUUCUCCCUGAAGAGCUUGGCAGUGGGAUAGGAGACAUCCUCUCCAGUGUAGACUACAGCUUCCAUUCCCCCACCUCAGAUAACACAAACAGUGUGCACACAUGGCUCAGCCUUCUGCAAACUUUUGGCCAAGGGAGAAAGCUCAGAGCUUGGCUGAUAUGCUGGACUCCCCAAAGUCUCCAGGUCUCCAGGGACGGUGCCUGUAACUUACCUGAAGAGGAACUGGUAGACAAGUCAUCUGAAAACAACUGAGGAAUCCUGCCCUGACCUAUCAGCUGUCUGCUGCCUCCCAACUCUUGCAGCCUUGGGAGAGGCACAUUCACUUGGAAAUGUGAUGAACAGGUGUCCAUUUACUUUGGAUUCAGGCCAAAGAGUCAAGCCAAUGUCAUUUGUAAGGCACAAUCAUUUUAAGUUCAGACCCAUGAAGAUCUUUUCUUGUACUUUUGUCUGAAUUAGAGAAACAACUUAAGCUGUCGUGCUUGGGGACAUUACUUUGAGAAAGCUACUUUGGAGGCACAACUCCCUAGGGUAAAGAAGAAAUAGCUUCCCGUCUUCCUAUGCAGGAAACUGCUGAAAUAGCUGACUCUACCCUCAAA